UACGUAGGGUGCAGGCGUUAAUCGGAAUUACUGGGCGUAAAGCGUGCGCAGGCGGUUUGCUAAGACCGGUGUGAAAUCCCCGGGCUUAACCUGGGAACUGCGCUGGUAACUGGCAAGCUAGAGUGUGGCAGAGGGGGGUGGAAUUCCAGGUGUAGCAGUGAAAUGCGUAGAGAUCUGGAGGAACACCGAUGGCGAAGGCAGCCCCCUGGGCUAACACUGACGCUCAUGCACGAAAGCGUGGGGAGCAAACAGG
This 253-nucleotide ribosomal RNA is filed under the name uncultured bacterium. RNAcentral's name for it is "partial 16S ribosomal RNA". It matches the Rfam family "Bacterial small subunit ribosomal RNA", at positions 524 to 776 of the family's 1533-position model. The record is from RNAcentral.